Molecule: long non-coding RNA, 2033 nt
Organism: Cebus imitator (Panamanian white-faced capuchin)
Lineage: Eukaryota; Metazoa; Chordata; Mammalia; Primates; Cebidae
Exons: 4
Source: RefSeq, a predicted model, not a curated record
UGGCUGGUCUCAAACUCCUGAUCUCAAGUGAUCCGUCCGCCUUGACCUUCCAAAAUGCUGGGAUUAUAGGCGUGAGCCACUGCGCCCGGCCAGUCAUGGUCUCCUUUAAAGAUUGUGUUGCUUUCUGCCUCAAUAUUCAUCAAUAUGUUGGAAGUUACCAAGAAGUUCCUGACAGAUGUAUUUCAAAUUCUGGUGAAGAAAGAAGAAUUGGCCCUUGAUAGGAUCAAUGUUUUACAAUAAUUUUGAAAGGUGGUAGUGACAGAAGGAAGAAUACAUUAUGGAGGGUAUUCGGAUAAAGGACAAACCCCUGACUGCUACUGACUUAUUGAAACUGAGAGUCACCAUUGGCACAUGAAACUCUUCCGCUGCCUAGAGCGUGAAAUGGUCCCCAAAAGACAAGUCAGAUUUAUUACUCAAAAAUAUGCAGCCUCAGUAAAGACAUCCAUGCCUCUAAUUCUUCCAGUUAUGCAUUUCGAUCAGCUUGAUCAAGAAACACCAGAAAAAGUAUCUGAAUGGACAAAAGCAGGUGGUCAGCAGAUCAGUGUAGACAGUCUCUCCUCUUGUCCCCUGCUUUGAACCACAAGGGUUCUGGCCUUUCAGGUGAUGCUGAUGACACCCUUUCUCAGAAAUUGGAUAAUCUGAGUCUCUCCAGGCAAGGAACAUUUUUAUCAAUGAAGAAUUUUGGAAAGACGGAGUAGAGCGUUAAUCCCUAGAAGACCCUGAAGGAUGGGGUGGGCGCGAGAUUACAUGACAUAGUUCUUCCUCAAAUUUGGUGAUAAAAGCAUCUUCAGCAGCAGCCCGGUGAGAAGGAUAUUCCAGCCAAUCAGCAUUGGGUAUCUGAUAACAUGUUUGAAAAUAAGAACAAGCUAAAGCAGUCUUGCAAGUAAAAGUUACUGACCUGAUAUGGACUGGGCACAAGACGAACAGUGUUUCUGCUCACGGCAACCACCCAGGCCCUGCAAGCAGUAGAAGGCUCCAGAAAUUGGAUCUGGACCAUGGGCCUUCAGGGUAUGCUAAUGAUCAGACACAGGCGUAGGAAAAUCCCCUGGGGUUUUUGUCAGACUUGAAACCAGAGCAACAUGCUCAAGAUUCUGUGGAUUCUUUGGCUUUGUCCAACAUCACAGUAGCUUCAGUGGAUGGAUGAAGCAAGCUGAGGUCAUCCUUAUAUUCCCUGCAAACUCUGAAAAAAACGGAGGCAGAAGAUUGUGAGCAAAUCAGCAGUAUGGAAACUUUGAACUCUGCUGCAUCAAACUGCAGAGUCCUUAAAGUGUCCAAGUUCAGAAUUUUGUCUAGAAAAAAAUCAUGCCUGAAGAAAAACUGGUAUAUCUGCCAGGACUCAGGCAAUCCAAGUCUCAGUCCAGACCUCAGAAGGUCAGCUGAUGUCACUGACAAUGGAAACUACAACAUCAAGUUCAGGCAGUGUCCUGUGAGUGACAAGACCUGGGUGUACCAUCGUGAAGGGAGGGGAUCUAGAUCUCAUCACCAUUCCCACAGGAGAAGUAGAAAGUCCCACUCUGACAAUAUCCCAAAUAUUCUUACAGAAAGAGAAUAAUCUCCCAAGGACGGACCGCAGCUCUACAUCUCCCAUAACUACGGGUAAUUUAUGUGGAAUAAAAGUGCCCAGGAAAUCCAAGCAUACAUCCAGAAGGCAACCUCUAUAGACAGCAUGCCCAUCCACUUCCGACCAUUCAUAUGUGCCCAGGAGUGAAGAGAUUUCUGGGAUUUCUGGUGUUCCUCCUUCUCGUCCCUCUUCUGACUCAGAACAAAAGAAUAUUUUCUUGGACAAGUCGGUCCCUCCACCCCAGCCACAGAGAUACGCCGACUAUCUUGUCCAACUUCUGCACUCCCUGCUGGUCAGUUUGGUUAGAGGACAGCUCAAUUCAAGAAAAUAGGCGGACACAAGUGCAAAAACUAUUAUUUCUUAAGAUAGUCGCUGUGGAGAUAAUGUGUUUAAAAUGUAGCAUUAACCAUCAAAAUCCUCUUUUUUUCUUACAUAAGAAAAUUGCUAAAAUAAAGUGUUUUGCCUUUGUAAA